Non-coding RNA from Pelobates cultripes (western spadefoot toad), 312 nucleotides. The record is from the annotation of a GenBank genome assembly. Lineage: Eukaryota; Metazoa; Chordata; Amphibia; Anura; Pelobatidae.
CCCUAAAGUACUUCAGUUUGGUGAUGUGCUAUAUGGUUUUUUUUUUUCCUCACAUUCAUUUUACAAAAUGAAGAUUUCAAGACCUCCAACUUGGGUGUUUGUCAGGCAAUUGUUCCUUUUUGCUUUCAGAUUUGCUUGGGUAAACUCAAAGCAGGCAAUUGAUUUGAGCAACUUAUCAUUGAGCUGCGAUUGGAUAGCCAGUGUCUGUGCUGGGUUAGAGGGAGAGCUUGCAAAGGUUUCAGACUAUAAAUCUGUAAGCUUUUAGAUCGCCACUGGAAAAGAGUGCAUAAUUAAAUGCAUGUUCUCACUGUG